This 576-nucleotide ribosomal RNA is filed under the name Wickerhamiella pararugosa. RNAcentral describes it as "eukaryotic LSU rRNA". It matches the Rfam family "Eukaryotic large subunit ribosomal RNA", at positions 53 to 669 of the family's 3401-position model. The record is from RNAcentral. Lineage: Eukaryota; Fungi; Ascomycota; Dipodascomycetes; Dipodascales; Trichomonascaceae.
GAGGAAAGGAAACCAACAGGGAUUCCCUUAGUAACGGCGAGUGAACCGGGAAAAGCUCAAAUUUGAAAUCUGCCAACAGGCCGAGUUGUAAUUUGUAGAUGGCUACACUGCAUAAUAGUAGAUGCUCAAGUUCUUUGGAAAAAGACAUCAUGGAGGGUGACAAUCCCGUGAGGCAUGUUACUAGGAGCAUAUAGUGGGCUUUCUAAGAGUCGAGUUGUUUGGGAAUGCAGCUCAAAGUGCGUGGUGAAUACCAUGUAAAGCUAAAUAUGGACGAGAGACCGAUAGCGAACAAGUACUGUGAAGGAAAGAUGAAAAGCACUCCGAAAGGAGAGUGAAAUAGUACGUGAAAUUGUUAAAGUGGAAGGGCUUGAGAUCAGAAUUGGUAGUUUGGGUUCCACGUCCUCUUGGGGGCGUGUACUCCCUUUCCACCGGGCCAGCGGGAGUUUCGUCUCUUGGGUAAAAGCAGUGGAAUGUAGCAGCUUGUCUGUAUUAUAGCCUCUGUUCAUACAAGACGUCGAGACUUGUUUUUGUUGGCGUAAUGAUCUCUAGCCACCCGUCUUGAACCUCCGGGACCAA